GUGGCUGCUCUUGAACUGUUAGGGUUGCAUCAGAGGCGCUUGGGCAACUAUCAGGAAAUUCACUCACUCCUCCUGACUAAGCCCCUGCUCACCCACCUGUCUUGGAGAUGCCGA
Bombyx mori (domestic silkworm) is the source of this 114-nucleotide non-coding RNA. The record is from RefSeq and is marked provisional. NCBI's taxonomy places the organism in Eukaryota, Metazoa, Arthropoda, Insecta, Lepidoptera, Bombycidae.